RNAcentral lists this ribosomal RNA (253 nucleotides) under uncultured bacterium. RNAcentral describes it as "partial 16S ribosomal RNA". It matches the Rfam family "Bacterial small subunit ribosomal RNA", at positions 524 to 776 of the family's 1533-position model. The record is from RNAcentral.
UACAGAGGGUGCAAGCGUUGUUCGGAAUUAUUGGGCGUAAAGCGCGUGUAGGCGGCUUUGCAAGUCGGGUGUGAAAGCCCUCAGCUCAACUGAGGAAGUGCGCCCGAAACUGCAGAGCUUGAGUACCGGAGAGGAUGGCGGAAUUCCCGAAGGAGAGGUGAAAUUCGUAGAUAUCGGGAGGAACACCGGUGGCGAAGGCGGCCAUCUGGACGGAUACUGACGCUGAGACGCGAAAGCGUGGGGAGCAAACAGG